RNAcentral lists this small nucleolar RNA (39 nucleotides) under Cathartes aura (turkey vulture). Lineage: Eukaryota; Metazoa; Chordata; Aves; Accipitriformes; Cathartidae. The record is from RNAcentral.
UUGCAAACUCGAUCACUAGCUCUGCAUGAUGUUGCAGAA